GUGCCAGCAGCCGCGGUAAUACGGAGGGUGCGAGCGUUAAUCGGAAUUACUGGGCGUAAAGCGCAUGCAGGUGGUGUGUUAAGUCAGAUGUGAAAGCCCGGGGCUCAACCUCGGAAUAGCAUUUGAAACUGGCACACUAGAGUACUGUAGAGGGGGGUAGAAUUUCAGGUGUAGCGGUGAAAUGCGUAGAGAUCUGAAGGAAUACCAGUGGCGAAGGCGGCCCCCUGGCCAAAGACUGACGCUCAGGUGCGAAAGCGUGGGGAGCAAACAGGAUUAGAUACCCUGGUAGUCC
RNAcentral lists this ribosomal RNA (292 nucleotides) under uncultured microorganism. RNAcentral describes it as "partial 16S ribosomal RNA". It matches the Rfam family "Bacterial small subunit ribosomal RNA", at positions 505 to 796 of the family's 1533-position model. The record is from RNAcentral.